GCGCAGCAGGCGAGAAACCUUCGCAAUGCAGGAAACUGCGACGAGGGAACUCCAAGUGCCUACGCUCAGCGUAGGCUGUUCUCAAGCCUAGAAAGCUUGAGGAGUAAGGGCUGGGUAAGACGGGUGCCAUCUGUGGUAGCAGUUAAUAGAUUCGAUUUGUUACUGCAAGGCAUAAGCCGCCGCGGUAAUACCCGCAGCCCAAGUGGUGGCCGCUUUUAUUGGGCCUAAAGCGUCCGUAGCCGGCCCGGUAAAUGCCUGGGUAAAUCGUGGAGCCCGAACUUCACGAAUUCCGGGUAGACUGCCGAGCUCGGGACCGGAAGAGGGAGAGGGUACUUCGAGGGGUAGGGGUGAAAAUUUCCUUUCCAUUAACGCUUUGCGCGAAGCGGAAAGGGUUAUCACAAUCCUGUAAUCCCUGGA
RNAcentral lists this ribosomal RNA (417 nucleotides) under uncultured microorganism. RNAcentral describes it as "bacterial SSU rRNA". It matches the Rfam family "Archaeal small subunit ribosomal RNA", at positions 330 to 653 of the family's 1478-position model. The record is from RNAcentral.